GGGAAGUGACACAAGAGAAAUUUCUCUUUAAAAGGAGCUGUCUGAACCAGUUCAAGGGAGUUCGAUUUAGUUCAGCUUUGGUAGCUGAAUUGGAGGUCAGGAGUCAGAGGAGGCUGCUGGGUCCCUGAACGCUAGAGUUUUGCUUGGAAAGAUCUUGUGUUUUCUGGAACAAUGAUGAUGGGAAAUUGGUUCAACCACACCAGAGUAAACUCCUGGCUCUUUCCAGAGGGACCAAUGUGCUGUGAUGCCAGUUAGCUUGGCUUCUGGGACUUGAAACCCCUUCAAAGAAGUUUUUAGACUCUUCUAAGCUGACACUGAGAUGGUCCUAAAUGUCACCAUAACUUGAUGGAGACAGUUAAGAUGACGUCCUGAUGAAGGGGAACUCAAUUAAGGCCAACAAUCUCAACUACUAUCUAUAAGGAUAAGAGCUAUUUAAAAUGAUUUGCAUUUGACAUCCCAUGUAUAACCUACAUCAAAUUCCUUACCAUUUAAGGGAGUUUAGAAAAUUAAUGUUAAAAAUUGUUUCUACAUGUAACUUGAAAAAAUAAAAUGAAAGAAAAAAUUUA
Molecule: non-coding RNA, 566 nt
Organism: Monodelphis domestica (gray short-tailed opossum)
Lineage: Eukaryota; Metazoa; Chordata; Mammalia; Didelphimorphia; Didelphidae
Source: RefSeq, a predicted model, not a curated record